This 492-nucleotide ribosomal RNA is filed under the name uncultured bacterium. RNAcentral describes it as "partial 16S ribosomal RNA". It matches the Rfam family "Bacterial small subunit ribosomal RNA", at positions 29 to 507 of the family's 1533-position model. The record is from RNAcentral.
AGUGAACGCUGGCGGUAGGCCUAACACAUGCAAGUCGAACGGCAGCACAGUAAGAGCUUGCUCUUACGGGUGGCGAGUGGCGGACGGGUGAGGAAUACAUCGGAAUCUACUUUUUCGUGGGGGAUAACGUAGGGAAACUUACGCUAAUACCGCAUACGACCUACGGGUGAAAGCAGGGGAUCUUCGGACCUUGCGCGAUUGAAUGAGCCGAUGUCGGAUUAGCUAGUUGGCGGGGUAAAGGCCCACCAAGGCGACGAUCCGUAGCUGGUCUGAGAGGAUGAUCAGCCACACUGGAACUGAGACACGGUCCAGACUCCUACGGGAGGCAGCAGUGGGGAAUAGUGGACAAUGGGCGCAAGCCUGAUCCAGCCAUACCGCGUGGGUGAAGAAGGCCUUCGGGUUGUAAAGCACUUUUGUUGGGAAAGAAAAGCAGAAGGUUAAUAACCCGCUGUUCUGACGGUACCCAAAGAAGAAGCACCGGCUAACUGCGUG